RNAcentral lists this long non-coding RNA (421 nucleotides) under Gallus gallus (chicken). RNAcentral's name for it is "long non-coding RNA NONGGAT005489". Lineage: Eukaryota; Metazoa; Chordata; Aves; Galliformes; Phasianidae. The record is from RNAcentral.
GGGGGGCCGAGGAGCGGCCGUGCUCUCGCCGGCACCUGCCGGUCUGCCGGCAACCGGGCUCGUCGGGAGGCAGCGGGGCCGGUUUGGGGCCGAGAAGUGGAAAUCCUCCAUCCAGCAGUGCUGGGACAGAGAGCCCCGCUGCCCCCGGCGGAGCGCCGUCCCUGUGCCACGCGCCCUCCCCGCCUCGCGUCUGAGCGUCGCCUCCCUUUGCUCCCACAGAUCCGCAGCUCGCCGGGGCAGAGGAGGAUGCGGGGAGCCCGGCUGAGCCCAGCGCCGUGGAGCAGCAGCUGCCGCCGGAGCUGGACGCCCACGUGGCCGGCACCGUGCGAGCCCUGCAGGACGACAUGCAGCGCGUGCUGGAGCGGCUGAGCGAGCUGGAGCUGCUCACCUCCAGGACACAUCCGGGGCCGAUCCCGGAGAG